Molecule: ribosomal RNA, 480 nt
Filed under: uncultured bacterium
Lineage: Bacteria
Description: bacterial SSU rRNA
Rfam family: Bacterial small subunit ribosomal RNA
Source: RNAcentral
UUCUGGCUCAGGAUUAACGCUGGCGGCGUGCCUAAUACAUGCAAGUCGGAUGGUUAGCUUGCUAACCAUGGCGAACGGGUGAGUAACACGUAGGUAACCUGUCUAAGACACGAGGAUAACCAUUGGAAACGAUGGAUAAUACUGGAUAGGACAUUUGGAGGCAUCUUUGGAUGUUUAAAGAUUUAUCGGUAAUAGAGGGGCCUGCGGCGCAUUAGCUAGUUGGCGGGGUGAAGGCCCACCAAGGCGAUGAUGCGUAGCCGGACUGAGAGGUUGAACGGCCACAAUGGGACUGAGAACGGCCCAUACUCCUACGGGAGGCAGCAGUAGGGAAUUUUCGGCAAUGGGCGGAAGCCUGAACCCGAGCAACGCCGCGUGAACGAAGAAGUAUUUCGGUAUGUAAAGUUCUUUUAUUUGGGACGAAAAAUUAAAAUUGACUGUACCAAAUGAAUAAGCUCCGGCUAACUACGUGCCAGCAGCUGC